Molecule: long non-coding RNA, 915 nt
Organism: Canis lupus familiaris (dog)
Lineage: Eukaryota; Metazoa; Chordata; Mammalia; Carnivora; Canidae
Exons: 5
Source: RefSeq, a predicted model, not a curated record
AGUAGGAAUUGGGGCACAGUGGUAACCCACGUUGCUUGAACCUAAAGUACAGAUUCCAAGUUUUUGCUGUCGUAGAGUUCUAUAUUCUAGUUACAGAAUGCUUACAAAUUCACUGUUUUCAUAUUUUAUUUCAGAUUUCAUCUCCACAGGCUCUGUUAUGGUCUCCCACAGUAGGAUGCUAGGGGGAGGUUAAUUAUAGUUCUGUGCUUAAGAGAAUGUCUGUUCUAUACCCUGGGACCUAAGCUGAUGAAGAAGCCUCAUUACGAGCAUUGCUUGUCUCAUGCCAAAUGGAAAGGAGAACAUGCUUCUAGAUAUACCACAUAUCUCUGGGCAGCACUUUGAUCUACUAUCAUGACCGUUGUCUCUCUGGUAGAGGUACAGUAUGACUCUUCUGCCUGUGGAGAUGUUUAGUGCAACUGCAAGCAAAAUAUUGCAAAUGGAUGAAAUAUUCUUCAUGAAGUCAACCUCAUGCUGGACUGUCUACCACAUGCGCACACAAUAAUGUUUGUUAAAUUGAAUAGAAUUGACAGUCAUAAAUACGAAAUAAAUUGGGCAUUUCUCAUGCUAGAGACGAAGCCUCUACCCCGAGGAACGUGAACUUUCUUCAAAUUUAGAAAUAAAUAGAAUAUUUUGUUACUUUUACUCAUGGUGAAAUCACUGCCCUUAAGAGGAUUUUUUUUACCUUAAUGGUGCUACUUAUUUAAUAUGUAGUUCCUUCCUUUAAAAAAGAGAAAUAAGAUACAAAGAUGACUGGUAGAGGAUGGUUUCCUCCACUGCCAUACAUCAAUUAUGAAUGAAAAGUUUUGGGGGGUUAAAUGAUCUUAGUUUCUUAGCUCAGGUGCUUCUUAUACAAAAGGAAUUUCCAAUAAAAAUAUAAUUCCUUUUUGUAAUAAACAGUACAGCUUCCUAUGUUUG